UGGGGAAUUUUGCACAAUGGGCGCAAGCCUGAUGCAGCCAUGCCGCGUGUAUGAAGAAGGCCUUCGGGUUGUAAAGUACUUUCAGCGGGGAGGAAGGGAGUAAAGUUAAUACCUUUGCUCAUUGACGUUACCCGCAGAAGAAGCACCGGCUAACUCCGUGCCAGCAGCCGCGGUAAUACGGAGGGUGCAAGCGUUAAUCGGAAUUACUGGGCGUAAAGCGCACGCAGGCGGUUUGUUAAGUCAGAUGUGAAAUCCCCGGGCUCAACCUGGGAACUGCAUCUGAUACUGGCAAGCUUGAGUCUCGUAGAGGGGGGUAGAAUUCCAGGUGUAGCGGUGAAAUGCGUAGAGAUCUGGAGGAAUACCGGUGGCGAAGGCGGCCCCCUGGGCGAAGACUGACGCUCAGGUGCGAAAGCGUGGGGAGCAAACAGG
RNAcentral lists this ribosomal RNA (429 nucleotides) under Chloroflexota bacterium. RNAcentral's name for it is "Chloroflexi bacterium partial 16S ribosomal RNA". It matches the Rfam family "Bacterial small subunit ribosomal RNA", at positions 355 to 776 of the family's 1533-position model. The record is from RNAcentral. Lineage: Bacteria; Bacillati; Chloroflexota.